RNAcentral lists this transfer RNA (88 nucleotides) under archaeon HR06. Its description in RNAcentral is "tRNA-Pro". It matches the Rfam family "tRNA". From Rfam's summary of the family: Transfer RNA (tRNA) molecules are approximately 80 nucleotides in length. Their secondary structure includes four short double-helical elements and three loops (D, anti-codon, and T loops). Further hydrogen bonds mediate the characteristic L-shaped molecular structure. tRNAs have two regions of fundamental functional importance: the anti-codon, which is responsible for specific mRNA codon recognition, and the 3' end, to which the tRNAs corresponding amino acid is attached (by aminoacyl-tRNA synthetases). tRNAs cope with the degeneracy of the genetic code in two manners: having more than one tRNA (with a specific anti-codon) for a particular amino acid; and 'wobble' base-pairing, i.e. permitting non-standard base-pairing at the 3rd anti-codon position. The record is from RNAcentral.
GGGCCUGUGGCCAAGUGGACUAAGGCGAGGGCCCUCUAAAUUUGGGGAUAGCCCUAGAUCGUGGGUUCGAAUCCCACCAGGCCCGCCA